Molecule: ribosomal RNA, 237 nt
Filed under: uncultured bacterium
Lineage: Bacteria
Description: partial 16S ribosomal RNA
Rfam family: Bacterial small subunit ribosomal RNA
Source: RNAcentral
ACUCCUACGGGAGGCAGCAGUGGGGAAUAUUGCACAAUGGGCGCAAGCCUGAUGCAGCCAUGCCGCGUGUAUGAAGAAGGCCUUCGGGUUGUAAAGUACUUUCAGUCAGUGAGGGAAGGGAUGGAUGCGUUAAUAGCGUAUUCAUUUGACGUUAGCUGCAGAAGAAGCACCGGCUAACUCCGUGCCAGCAGCCGCGGUAAUACGGAGGGUGCGAGCGUUAAUCGGAAUUACUGGGCG